RNAcentral lists this ribosomal RNA (326 nucleotides) under uncultured eukaryote. Its description in RNAcentral is "partial 18S ribosomal RNA". It matches the Rfam family "Eukaryotic small subunit ribosomal RNA", at positions 1470 to 1796 of the family's 1831-position model. The record is from RNAcentral.
CCCUUAGAUGUUCUGGGCCGCACGCGCGCUACACUGAUGCAUUCAACGAGCCUAGCCUUGACCGAGAGGUCCGGGUAAUCUUUGAAACUGCAUCGUGAUGGGGCUAGAUUAUUGCAAUUAUUAAUCUUCAACGAGGAAUGCCUAGUAAGCGUGAUUCAUCAAAUCGCGUUGAUUACGUCCCUGCCCUUUGUACACACCGCCCGUCGCUCCUACCGAUUGAAUGAUCCGAUGAAUAUCAUGGAUUGAGGAUUAUAGCAGGUUCGCCUGUCUUGAUCUUCGAGAAGUGAAGUAAAUCUUAUCAUUUAGAGGAAGGAGAAGUCGUAACA